GAAACGAGGUUCUUUUCCGUAGUCUACUGCAUCUCGAAGAAUUUCGUCGUCGGAUCUUCUUUUUGACUUCGUGUUUCUCUCUCGACUGAUUAGAUCGGAAGAUGAUUGACGAUCAGGAAUUAGGUUUUCUUGCCAAUUUUCUCGGCAUUUUUAUCUUUGCCUUGGUGAUUGCUUACCAUUACGUUACGGCUGAUCCGAAAUAUGAAGGCAACUGAGAUCUCGUUGAUUUAGAUGCUUAGAUUCAUCGGCAAAAUGCACUACUGUUAGAUGUAGGCCGUUUUUUAUAUGUUAGGUUUUCCAUUUUCUUCUAUGAGAAUUUUCUCCCGGCAACAACCAAUGUAAGCAACUUUUUCAUUAUGCAAUCGUAAUUUAUUCUCAUAAAUUUUCAUGGUUCUUUGACUGAUCUUUUAUUAGUUACGUAUUUGAUCGAA
This is an RNA transcript of Cucurbita moschata (crookneck pumpkin), 431 nucleotides long. It is a transcript of the gene named dolichyl-diphosphooligosaccharide--protein glycosyltransferase subunit 4A, with no coding region annotated. Lineage: Eukaryota; Viridiplantae; Streptophyta; Magnoliopsida; Cucurbitales; Cucurbitaceae. The transcript is spliced from 2 exons. The record is from RefSeq and is a predicted model, not a curated record.